GAUGAACGCUGGCGGCGUGCCUAAUACAUGCAAGUCGAGCGAACGGACGAGAAGCUUGCUUCUCUGAUGUUAGCGGCGGACGGGUGAGUAACACGUGGAUAACCUACCUAUAAGACUGGGAUAACUUCGGGAAACCGGAGCUAAUACCGGAUAAUAUUUUGAACCGCAUGGUUCAAAAGUGAAAGACGGUCUUGCUGUCACUUAUAGAUGGAUCCGCGCUGCAUUAGCUAGUUGGUAAGGUAACGGCUUACCAAGGCAACGAUGCAUAGCCGACCUGAAAGGGUGAUCGGCCACACUGGCACUGAGGCACGUACCAGACUCCUACGGGAGGCAGCAGUAGGGAAUCUUCCGCGAUGGACGAAAGCCUGACGGAGCAACGCCGCGUGAGUGAUGAAGGUCUUCGGAUCGUAAAACUCUGUUAUUAGGGAAGAACAUAUGUGUAAGUAACUGUGCACAUCUUGACGGUACCUAAUCAGAAAGCCACGGCUAACUACGUG
RNAcentral lists this ribosomal RNA (497 nucleotides) under uncultured bacterium. RNAcentral describes it as "partial 16S ribosomal RNA". It matches the Rfam family "Bacterial small subunit ribosomal RNA", at positions 28 to 507 of the family's 1533-position model. The record is from RNAcentral.